RNAcentral lists this signal recognition particle RNA (97 nucleotides) under Actinobacteria bacterium HGW-Actinobacteria-4. Its description in RNAcentral is "signal recognition particle sRNA small type". It matches the Rfam family "Bacterial small signal recognition particle RNA". Rfam says of the family: The signal recognition particle (SRP) is a universally conserved ribonucleoprotein involved in the co-translational targeting of proteins to membranes. Archaeal SRP consists of a 7S RNA and homologues of the eukaryotic SRP19 and SRP54 proteins. The record is from RNAcentral. Lineage: Bacteria; Bacillati; Actinomycetota.
GGGGACCCCUCACGUGGCGAUAUCUCGCCCAACUCCCCCAGGGCAGAAAUGCAGCAAGGGUAAGCGGGCUCUGUUGGGUGCGUGGGGGGUCCUUUCG